AUUGAACGCUGGCGGCAGGCCUAACACAUGCAAGUCGAGCGGAUGCAGGGAGCUUGCUCCUGGAUUCAGCGGCGGACGGGUGGGUAAUGCCUAGGAAUCUGCCUGGUAGUGGGGGAUAACGUCCGGAAACGGGCGCUAAUACCGCAUACGUCCUGAGGGACAAAGUGGGGGAUCUUCGGACCUCACGCUAUCAGAUGAGCCUAGGUCGGAUUAGCUAGUUGGUGGGGUAAAGGCCUACCAAGGCGACGAUCCGUAACUGGUCUGAGAGGAUGAUCAGCCACACUGGAACUGAGACACGGUCCAGACUCCUACGGGAGGCAGCAGUGGGGAAUAUUGGACAAUGGGCGAAAGCCUGAUCCAGCCAUGCCGCGUGUGUGAAGAAGGUCUUCGGAUUGUAAAGCACUUUAAGUUGGGAGGAAGGGCAGUAAGUUAAUACCUUGCUGUUUUGACGUUACCAACAGAAUAAGCACCGGCUAACUUCGUG
Molecule: ribosomal RNA, 484 nt
Filed under: uncultured bacterium
Lineage: Bacteria
Description: partial 16S ribosomal RNA
Rfam family: Bacterial small subunit ribosomal RNA
Source: RNAcentral